Long non-coding RNA from Bombus terrestris (buff-tailed bumblebee), 5561 nucleotides. RefSeq lists it as uncharacterized. The record is from RefSeq and is a predicted model, not a curated record. Lineage: Eukaryota; Metazoa; Arthropoda; Insecta; Hymenoptera; Apidae. The transcript has 2 exons.
CGUAUCUUGCGUGGUUGCAUAAGUGGGUUCCAAUCUCCGACAAAAUUGAAACUAUUCCAUAACGCGAAGGUCGAAUUUGAAUGAUGCCGUAGGCCGUAGAAUAUCGUAAUGUUAUAGUGGAAGUGGAGAGCGAAUGGGUAUUCACCAACACCGUAGUCACAGGUGCACGACAUCCUUGUUGUUCAGGGGUUGCGGAGGGAUGAAACAUCCAGCGUUGGGCUUGGGAGGGGCGGCAGACAACUCUCGUACAGAUCAAUACUCGAGACAGGGCCGCACUGUUCCACAUAAUUUUUCAUCUCCGAUUGCUAUGGAUCUGGGAUUUUCGGCGUUUAUAUUUUGGACGAUGUUUAAGGGUGGAAUUGCACUAGACGCUAACUCAUAUUUUCGGAAUGUAUAACAUUGGAAGAAAUUAUUCGAUAACUGACUUUAUUAGUAUUUUUUGUAUUGAUGACGAAUAUUGUAGUUUUGUGUUAGAAAAUGAUACAAGCUACCCGAUAGUUGAUUUGACUAUAGUUUCUGAAAAUUGAUUAGUUUUAGUACCAGAAUCUAUAUAUUAAAAAUAUCUGAAUGUUUAAAGUAGGACAAAUAUUGCGCAUAUAAUUCUCAAUUUUAUAAUAAUAAUGUUACAUAUAGCUUUUUGUUUUAAUAUCAAGUGUACCACGUUCUCUCUCAUUCUCUCUCUUUUUGCCCUCUGUCUUUGUCCUUUCUUUUUCUUUUGGUAAUAUUAGGAAAAUUAUUUGACAUCAGACCCGCGAUAUAUGGCAUGACUUUGAAGUUGAUGACAAGAUUUGAAGAAUAUUUCCUUUAAAUGUUAAAAUUAUUUAAAACAAUUUUUAGUAGCACAACUACUGAAGAAUGUCUCCCUGGAGGAUGUUCUCCCUCAGAUUGUUCUUAAUUAAUUAAAAUAUGCAAUAUCUCUUUACAAUAUUUAAUAUAAAUUUUUUAAGUGAAUAUUGGUAAAUAUUAACUGAACAUUUAAAAUAAUGUUUAUAAUGGGACGAUUUUUAAUUACAAGAUAAUGUACAAAAAAUUCAUUUAUUUCAGAUGAGAAAAGUUAUAUAUAUAGGGAAUCAUCUAGUUGUUAAUGCUUGAAACGAAAAUAAUAAAUGACUUCGUUUACCCAGUAGCAGAAUAAUCAUUUAAUAGAUAUAAUAAACGAAAUCAUAAAAUAGAAUUCAUUUUCUUUUGAAAUAUCAUAAAACGACAAAUAAAGUCUUCCUAGAUUGAUCUCGUAUUACAUUUACGUGUUUUUUUGGCUCUUAUUGUAAAUUUUCUCCUUGAAUCUCAACAAUAUAUGUAAUUAUGAAAAUCAUAAGAAGAUUCAAUAUCUUCAUGAAUAUUAUAAUCUAUUUUCUGAAGUUGUGCCAUUUUGUGAAACAAUUCACUUUCCCUAAGUGUUUUCACAAUGGUGGUCAUUUUUAACGAAAGUUCGGCCCUGGCUUACCUGCGAGACGAUGCCGACGACAAAUCCAAUGUUUCCACAGAGAAUUUCGAACUCGGCUUUAAAGCUGAAGAUUCGGUGUACCGCUGUACCGUGCCAGGCAUUCUUGAGGAAGUAAUCUUUAAUACCAAUGGGCGUUGGACUCACGUAUACAAAGAUUAUAUAUAGUCACUACCAAUAUCUACUCAAUAUAGUCAUUCAUUUAUUUCGAACCAAACUCGUAUAUAAUUUUCUGUAACUCUAUACACGUGUAUACAUGACAAACAUCCUAUGUUGGUAUGUUCUACCUUUAUUCCUCGCAAACUCGUAUAUAAUUUCCUGUAACUUCAUACAUAUAUACAAACAUCCUAUCUAACGCUAAAAAAUUCAAAUGACAUUUUCGCUUACGCAAUAACCUAUUGAAAAGGUCAACGUACUAAACUCAAAAAAAUUCAUACAAACAUCAAUGAUACGUCAAAAUAAUACACUAGUUAAAGAUAUCGUAACAUGUGUAUAUCCAGAAAGAUGUAUGUAUGUACAAAUGUACAUGUACGUAUAUAUAGAGAGCUACGAGAACUGAUUUUUAUCCGGAUCUUUCGAUUUUGUAUAGCAGCAUUCGGUCUUCCGUAUAUCUCUAUUAUAUGUAUGCUUUUAUCUAUAUAUCAGGUACGAAAUGUCGUGGAAUUUGUGUUACUCUUUCUUCUUCUUCUUAUUCUCUUCCACUGUUUUUUUUUCUUUUUCUUUUUUUUCGAGAUAUUUAUGUCGCCGUGUGAAAUUGACUAAAGUUUUGAAGUAGAAUCUCCAGUCAGUAAUGUAAUUAAAGAGAAUGCAGUUUUCAUCAGACUGGUCAGAGAAGGAGAAGGCGGUAUCGGGCGCCGCCCGUGUCUUAAAGCCGAUAUACCACUCAAGAAAUGACGGGCUUGUUUAUCGCGACGUCGCGUCGCGUCGCGUCUGUUCCGAACUUAUUUUCACUGGUGCUAACCAUAUGUGUUCUCUCACGAAAACAAAAUGACGCCAUCUGUGCCUACGUGACACCUUUUCUACGACAUCCGCGAAUUAUGUAUGUCGAGAUAGUAUGUACAUGAAAUCUUUUCGUCACGCUACAUUUCGAAUAGCGAAAUAUCAGAUGUCUGAUUAUUCUCAUCUGUUGCAAACAAUUUUGGAAUGGGAACAUUCGUUUGAUAUGAAUAAGUAUCGUCCCGUUAUAAGGAAUGUAUUUAACAAGUUGUUGAAAAUGAACAUUGCAAAAUGAAACCCGAACUAUUUCCUUGUUUUUCACGCAUUAGCCUCGUUCUGUAGUCCAUUUCUCUUCUUUUUUUCGGAAUUAACGUACUAUUAAAGUGACCGCAAAAGAUUACAUUUCUUGGAAAUUAAUCGAAAUAACAGAAAUAUUUUAUUCCAAAUACAUACUUCGAAAAUCAUUUCGAAUAUAUUGAGUUUCUUUUUAUGACGAUUAUUUAUUAUAUUAUAUUUGUAUGAUGUAAUAUUACAUAUAUUAUACAUGCAUAUAUAUACUAUAUACAACAUUAAAUUCAAGGAAUAUAUUUUAUUUACAAGAUUUAUUACUUAACUCUGACUCAUCCUCUCGUUCUUCAAAGUAAUAUUAUAUACAAUAUCACAUAUAUUAUUAUAUUAUAUUUUAAUUAUUAUUACAAAUUACCUAAUAUAUGAUAGAAAAAUACAUGUUUCAUUGCAUUCUAAAUUCGACAUAAUAGUGCUCCCCUCCCCUUUCUUAAUACCUACAAUUCUUAAUCCUAAAGUCACACAAUGUCCCACCAUAUAUGUGUGUAUGUAUGUACCCCAAAAAGUAUCUGAAUACUUGAAAGAGAGAAAGAAUUUUGUACCCUGAUCCAUAAUAGUUAUUAGGAAAAUAAUUUGAGUAUCUGGUAUGCCUUGACCGAUUCAGUUUAACCUGCAGUAAUUCCUAAUACUGCGAUUUCGAAGCAGAUGUUUCUGAUGAAUCAAUCUAUAGAAUUUAAUACCUUAUUGCCAGAUAUCUCAAGCGCAUUUAAUAUCAGGUAAACGAGUAGUACUAUACUCUUGUUGCUUUAAUGCCAUUCUAUAUAAAAAUUUCUAAUCAACGAACAUAGGCAACUCGGUAUAACGAUUGCACGAUCCUUGCAUAAUCGAGAUUAUCGCGUUCGUGUUUAUCGCAAGAUCACAUCGGCUGAAAAUUUCAAGUGCGAAACCUUGAACAACGUUUUCCUCGCGAUAUUAAUCGUCCAAGGAUUUCUUCUAUUACCUCGCACGCCAUCGACUGUUCAGUUAUUCGCGUUUUCUGUUUCUCACGAGCGGUGGGGAUAAAGCAUUUUAUCGUUCGUUGAAUGUCGGACCGUUGAUAAACAGGAAAUGUGUUUUACCAAUGAAACACGCGGUGUGAAAGGAACGAGAAUAAAAGUCUAGAAUCUUGGAACACGACGAGUUCCAUCUUUGCUCGUAAAUGGCCAGCUUUAUUCUAACGGCGGAGAUAUCGAUCGGGAAGAAAACCAACGAAUGUCGCAACUCCUCGACAAGGAUCGUACACUAGUCAAGUUAACAUGAAAGUUCACAGGACGUUCAGAUUCGAAUCUUUUUGUGAAUACGCUGAGAGAACAUCAAUUACUUGAAAGCGUCGCAUUUUUUCCCUUUGUCUAAAUGGAACACACAGAUUCUUGGAGACGCUUCUAUUCGUUAUUACUCUUCUAGAAUUUAAUAAUAAGAUUACAUUCUUUCCUUUAAUUCCUUUUUAGCUCUUUACUUAUUUAUUUUUCCUUUAUCUAUUCCUUUCAUCAAUUUUUUUUUUAUGUAACAAUAUGUACUACAUAUACUACAAUAUAUAAAAACUGUAAAAAAUAUAAUUUAUUGGAAAAAUUUGUAUUUGUAACACUUAGUUGAACGUUUAGUUAAAAUGUUAGUAAUCUUCCAUUUUAUAUUAUUACAUAAUUGCUACUAUAUUAGAACCGUACCUACGGUUUUGUGUUAAUAUUUUUAAAUAAUUGAGGACAGGGAGGAAGAGAGAGAAUUAGAGUAGCAGUCAAGAAUAUAAAUAUAGUAAACGAAAAUUGGUAAAGAAUAUAAUAUGCAAUAAUUUAACUUGCAAUUAAUUGCAAUAUAUCUCUCUACAUGGGCAACCUAUUUAGAAAAACAUUUACAUAGUCCUAAAAAAUAGUAUAUCCUCUAAAAUAUUGAUAAAUUUGACUUUUCACAAAAACAUACAAUUUACGUUUACCGAGCUAUUUACAAGACUACGUACAUAUAUACUUGAUACUAACCACAACGUGAAAGGAAGACAUAAAAGAGGUGGAACUCGAUAUUAUAAAAAUGUUAUUGUCUUAGACUUUGCUACCAUUUUUUUCAUAUCUGGUAAACAGACAAGUGAUUCGUGAUACUCGAGAUAAUUAAUCAGAAAAAAAUGCUAGAAAAAAAUAAAGCGGUCACGACAAUCAUACUAGUCUAUCGCCUUUAAAGUAAACGUUGCUUUUCAUGUGUGCAAAUACCCUAAGAGCAUGUCUCGUCCCUCUCGUAUUCACCAGUAAGCCACACGUCGACCAAACAUGCCAAUCUUCCCCUCAUCAGCCCUCACGGUAGUUUGGCAUUCUACCGAAUCACGUUUUCACUUUUUCAACCAGUCUGUACUUACUUUGUUUCCUAUUUCCUGCUUCCUUUCCCAUAUCUCAUUUAUUCAUCUCUUCGACGCUUUACAGACGUAACGAUCGUAAAUAUCGCUGAUUUCAUCCAACGAUUUUGAAAGGUUUGUUUUUGUCGAUGGCGACCCUUCUCCUGUUUUUAGAAGACGCACACGGCCAUCUUGAUUUAUUACACUGGUCACUAAGGCCGGUUUCACACAGAAGUAUGCGUAUCGCGAGCUGCGUACCGUGUGUAUGUCGCCAUGUGUUUCAAUGUUUUAUCUGUCACCUUCAUACGAAAAGUACCUAUCAUUGCCAAAAUAAACAAAACGAAUAUGUGUAUUCAGUAUCUAUCAUAUGUGUACCUCUGUGUGAACCCAGUCUAAAGGCUUCGUAACACUUAUGUUACGUCUUAUUAAAAUACAUAAUUCGCAAAGUAUUCAAACAGUUAAUGGAUGAUGAAGAAAAGUCCUUCCUACACAUCAGAAUGUCUAUGCACGAUUUAAAUGUUCUUUUAGGGAAAAUAGAAAAUUCCA